CCUACGGGAGGCAGCAGUGAGGAAUAUUGGUCAAUGGGCGCUAGCCUGAACCAGCCAAGUAGCGUGAAGGAUGACUGCCCUAUGGGUUGUAAACUUCUUUUAUAUGGGAAUAAAGUGCAGUACGUAUACUGCUUUGCAUGUACCUUAUGAAUAAGGAUCGGCUAACUCCGUGCCAGCAGCCGCGGUAAUACGGAGGAUCCGAGCGUUAUCCGGAUUUAUUGGGUUUAAAGGGAGCGUAGGCGGGUUGUUAAGUCAGUUGUGAAAGUUUGCGGGUCAACCGUAAAAUUGCAGUUGAUACUGGUGUCCUUGAGUACGGUAGAGGUAGGCGGAAUUCGUGGUGUAGCGGUGAAAUGCUUAGAUAUCACGAAGAACUCCGAUUGCGAAGGCAGCCUGCUGGAGUGUAACUGACGCUGAUGCUCGAAAGUGUGGGUAUCGAACAGGAUUAGAUACCCCUGUAGUC
This 460-nucleotide ribosomal RNA is filed under the name uncultured bacterium. RNAcentral describes it as "partial 16S ribosomal RNA". It matches the Rfam family "Bacterial small subunit ribosomal RNA", at positions 338 to 795 of the family's 1533-position model. The record is from RNAcentral.